CCUACGGGUGGCAGCAGUGGGGAAUAUUGGGCAAUGGAGGCAACUCUGACCCAGCAACGCCGCGUGCAUGAUGAAGGUCUUCGGAUUGUAAAGUUCUUUUCUAAGGGAAGAAGAUAGUGACGGUACCUUAGGAAUAAGCCUCGGCUAACUACGUGCCAGCAGCCGCGGUAAUACGUAGGAGGCAAGCGUUAUCCGGAAUGACUGGGCGUAAAGGGUGCGACGGUGGUUUGACAAGUUGGUAGCGUAACUCCGGGGCUCAAAUUCGGAACUACUACCAAAACUGUUGGACUCGAGUGCAGGAGGGGCAACUGGAAUUUAUAGUGUAGCGGUGGAAUGCGUAGAUAUUAGGAAGAACACCGGUGGCGAAGGCGAGUUGCUGGACUGUAACUGACACUGAGGCACGAAAGCGUGGGGAGCAAACAGGAUUAGAUACCCGGGUAGUC
This 443-nucleotide ribosomal RNA is filed under the name uncultured bacterium. RNAcentral's name for it is "partial 16S ribosomal RNA". It matches the Rfam family "Bacterial small subunit ribosomal RNA", at positions 338 to 795 of the family's 1533-position model. The record is from RNAcentral.